Molecule: ribosomal RNA, 328 nt
Filed under: uncultured eukaryote
Lineage: Eukaryota
Description: partial 18S ribosomal RNA
Rfam family: Eukaryotic small subunit ribosomal RNA
Source: RNAcentral
CCCUUAGAUGUCCGGGGCUGCACGCGCGCUACACUGAAGGAAUCAGCGUGCUAAAACCAUUGUCGAAAGGCAUUGGUAAACCCAUUAAAAUCCUACGUGAUUGGGAUCGGGAAUUGCAAUUAUUUCCCUUGAACGAGGAAUUCCCAGUAAGUGUGGGUCAUAAGCUCGCGUUGAUUACGUCCCUGCCCUUUGUACACACCGCCCGUCGCUGCCCGGGACUGAGCCGUUUCGAGAAAAGCGGGGACUGCUGCUGUCGGGGCUUUCGGGCCUGGGCUUCGGUGGAAACCGCUUUAAUCGCAGUGGCUUGAACCGGGCAAAAGUCGUAACA